CGCGGAGUUACGUCAUCUAGCAGUGGAUUGUCAGUUCGGACAAAUGGAGGAUGAAAUGCUACGGGACCAACUAAUUGAACGGACUUUCCUGGCCGCGGUGAGAGAUAGACUGUUACUCGAGUCGGAACUUACAUUGGAUCGCGCUUCUGCAUUAGCGUUUCAAGUGGAAUCGGCAGUACAAAAUGCUACACUCCUUUCAACUAAUGGCUCAACUUCUGCUCAAGUUCAAGCCAUCUCAAGGACAAAGUCCAGUUUCAAACGAGGUAAACAAAAGAGUGAGAAAAUGCCAUUACAAAAUGGAAAGCCACAGACUUCAAAUAAAAGACGCCGUUUUCGCUGUGGAUCUAAUACUCAAUUGGCCAACGCACCAACUUGUCCUGCUGCGUCAGCCACAUGUCAUCACUGUGGAAAGAAAGGACAUUUUGUGCAAUGGUAGUAGACCCCCUGCGUGAGAUACUCAGAUCAUCUCAGAAUGGAUUUACAUGGACGGAGGCAGCGGAUGUGAGUUUUCGUGGGCUAAAGCAGCUGUUAGUCCACAGCCCAGCCUUGGCUUUAUUCGACCCCUCCUUACCAACAUUCGUGUCCACCGAUGCUUCAGAUUAUGGCAUUGCAGGUGUCAUCAUUCAACUGCACCCGGAUCAGACAGAGCGUCCAAUAGCAUUCGCUUAUCGUACGUUGACGCCAGCUGAAAGAAAAUACAGUACAGUUGAGAAAGAAGCAUUAGCGUGUGUCUGGACAGUAGAGCGUUGGAGGACUUACCUUUGGGGCAGGAAGUUUACACUGAGGACGGUCCACCAAGCGCUGACCACACUACUGGCCACCAAGGAACUCCUUGAGGCAUGCGAAUCUUGUCCAGAGUUGUCCAAGCUGCAUGCCCAAAUCACACAAGGCUGGCCUAAAACACAGAAACAAAUGGAUCCAACAAUCAUGGCAUACUUUCAGGUCAGGCAUGAACUAGCUAGGGAUGAUAAGUAUAUCAUGAGAGGACAGAGAUUGGUUGUGCCAGUUGCUUUGCACUCUAAAUUCAUUCACUUAGCACACGAAGGACACCAGGGCGUGGUACGAACUAAGCAACGGCUAAGAGAAUUGUACUGGUGGCCUCGUAUGGACUAUGAUGUGCAUUCAAUUAUUGCUUCUUGUUCCGCCUGUCAGUCCUGUGACAAAACUGCCCGGACAUGCCCAGCCCCAUUACAGCCAGUGGACCUACCAGACGGUCCAUUUCAGAAAGUUGCAAUACACAUUGUAGGACCGUUUGAGAGAGCCACGUAUGACUGUCGUUUUGCUAUAACGAUGGUGGAUUAUUAUAGCAAGUGGCCAGAGGUUGCAUUUACCUCAAAUGUUACAACCGACACAGUUACAAAGUUUCUAGCAUCUGUGUUUGCGAGAGAAGGUAACCCACUCACCUUAGUCAGUGAUAAUGGUCCUCAGAUGACUUCUACUGCAUUCGCUGAUUUCCUGGCUGAAAGAGGAAUAAAACACAAUCGUUGCAGUGUUUACUGGCCCCAAGCAAACGGUGCUGUGGAAAGAUGGAAUCGUGUUUUAAAGGACUGUAUCCAAGUAGCUGAAAUACAACAACUUCAAUUGAAACAAGCGGUCACAGACUUCCUCCAAAAUUACAGAGCUACCCCGCACACAACAACAGGGGUAUCACCAUUUGAACUGUUAAGAGGGAGGAAGAUAAACACAAAGUUAAACACUCUGUCAGCCACAACAGCUCAGGGAGAGGAAGUGCCAAUGGGCAUGCGUGACCGUGUGCAGCGAGUUCAACAAAAGAUGAAACAGUAUACAGAUCAGAAACGUGGCGCUAAACCACCACCCUUCAAGUGUGGAGAUCGUGUACGUAUAAGAAAACCAAUGCAUGUACCAAAGGCUGGAAGGAAGUUCACUGUUCCUUUGUCAGUGGAUAAGAAACUAGGACCAAGCACUUAUGUCUUGAGCGAUGGAAAGAAAUGGAAUGCAGC
This 1961-nucleotide long non-coding RNA is filed under the name Sinocyclocheilus anshuiensis. RNAcentral describes it as "lncRNA (ENSSANG00000011985.1)". The record is from RNAcentral. Lineage: Eukaryota; Metazoa; Chordata; Actinopteri; Cypriniformes; Cyprinidae.